UGGCUCAAUGGUUAAGAGCACUGAGUGCUCUUCCAGAGGUCCUGGGUUCAAUUCCCAG
RNAcentral lists this transfer RNA (58 nucleotides) under Neotoma lepida (desert woodrat). The record is from Rfam by way of RNAcentral. Lineage: Eukaryota; Metazoa; Chordata; Mammalia; Rodentia; Cricetidae.